UGAUUCAGUGGCUGACAGGAAGCCCGUCACCUCGCCUGCUGCCCGCCAGUCUGGCGUUGGCGUCGGUUUGGGCAGGUGUGCGGGUGCAUUUGUGGGCGCAGGAUGGGGUGGCCACGGUGAGGAGUCCCUGACACUCAGCGUACAGGCGGACGCCGGGUGGACAUGAGCCUGGAGACCGAGCUGCUGUGGCCAGGGGCGGCGCUGCUGCUGCUGCUGGGGGCCACCGCUGGGCUGUGUGUGCGCUGCUCUCGCCCAGGGCUGAAGCGGUCGGAGAAGAUCUAUGAGCAGAGAAACCCGCAGGAGACUCAGCAGAGCUUCGCGGUGGCGCGGACCUAUUCCUUGGUCAGGCAGGCCUGGCCAGGGCCGCGGAUGGACACGACCCCUGACAUGGCCGCUGCAAGGUUCGACAAGCUGCUGCGCUUCUCCACCCCACUGGAGGGGAGCAGACGGGACUCGGACGCAGCCUACAUAGACCCCAUCGCCACGGACUAUUACAACUGGGGGCACCCGAAGAAGUCCCCGGAAGACGACGACGAUGAUGCCAACUCCUACGAGAACGUCCUCAUCUGCAAGCCCAGGACCCCCGAGUCAGGCGGCGAGGAGACCGAGGAUUAUCAGAACUCGGCGUCCAUCCGUCAGUGGCGAGAGUCCAGGAGGGCCGCGGGGCAAGGCCUGGCGGCUGGAUGUCCCUGUCCAGCGGGAAGCCCAGACGAGGACGCAGGGGAGCCCGACUACGUGAAUGGGGACCUGACGGCAGCCCGGGAAGCCUAGGGGAGGCCGGGGAGGAAGGUACGGCGCCCCGGAAGCCCAGGGGAGGCCGGGGAGGAAGGAGCCCUGGGGCCCUGGUCAUGGCCCAGCCCACUGUCUCCCAAGGACUGCUUUCCAGUGCUGUCCACUUCUGGGUUCCUGCUGUGGUCACCCCUGGAGAGGACACUGACAGACACCUCCCGAGGACCACCGUCUGUGGGGAACAGCCUGGGAGAAUUACCAUGAAUGGCCGAGCCCGGGCCCCAGCGUGUCCUCCCCCAACCCGGGCUUCCUUGGGGCAGGCGGCUGCCACCUGGCUCCCACGUGACGGGGUGCCACCCGCGCCCUGGGCCUGUGCGACACUGGCAUUUGCGCCCCUUUUGCUUUGGAUUUGGAUCCCAAAUUGCUCACUAACGUUGGUCUCUGUAAAUCACUAACGUGGUCCUUCAGCCUAUUGAUUUGUGCAGGCGGGACCGUAUUUACGUUCUGGGCUUGGGGGGGUCUCUCUCGGUGUCACGUCCUCCACUUCCCCACAGCACCGAGGGCGCCGGCUCCCCUCGACCCUUCAGCGGGGGCUUCUCUGUGCUUUGGGCUUCUGUUCACUUGGGAAGAAUCAAAGCCGGGGCCAUUGUGCUGUCCCUUUAACGAAAGGCUCCCUGCUGCGGACAAGGUGUGUCCCAGUGGGGUUCAGUGGCCCACCCCUGUGCUGCCAGAGCCGCGGGAGGCGGGCAGUUAGACCCCAAGUUCAAGGCCAGCUUCAGCAACUCAGCCAGGCUACCUGGAGAAGUAACGAGCAAGGACACGGCCAGAGGUCAAGUGCACCCACGUUCAAGCCCAAUAGGGGGCAGCACACUGGGAGCCUGGUGGUCAGAACAGCGGCCCAGGGAACUCUCCUGAGCCACAAAUGCCACUUGGGGAAACAAAACGUGCCCUCCCACCGAUACACACCAAUAAACCACUCCAG
This is an RNA transcript of Sciurus carolinensis (gray squirrel), 1711 nucleotides long. It is a transcript of the gene named linker for activation of T cells family member 2, with no coding region annotated. The record is from RefSeq and is a predicted model, not a curated record. Lineage: Eukaryota; Metazoa; Chordata; Mammalia; Rodentia; Sciuridae. The transcript has 12 exons.